RNAcentral lists this ribosomal RNA (457 nucleotides) under Collybia bakerensis. RNAcentral's name for it is "eukaryotic LSU rRNA". It matches the Rfam family "Eukaryotic large subunit ribosomal RNA", at positions 1 to 450 of the family's 3401-position model. The record is from RNAcentral. Lineage: Eukaryota; Fungi; Basidiomycota; Agaricomycetes; Agaricales; Clitocybaceae.
UUGACCUCAAAUCAGGUAGGACUACCCGCUGAACUUAAGCAUAUCAAUAAGCGGAGGAAAAGAAACUAACAAGGAUUCCCCUAGUAACUGCGAGUGAAGAGGGAAAAGCUCAAAUUUAAAAUCUGGCAGUCUCCGAUUGUCCGAGUUGUAAUUUAGAGAAGUGUUACCCGUGUUGGGCCGUGUAUAAGUCUCCUGGAAUGGAGCGUCAUAGAGGGUGAGAAUCCCGUCUUUGACACGGACUUCCAAUGCAUUGUGGUACGCUCUCAAAGAGUCGAGUUGUUUGGGAAUGCAGCUCUAAAUGGGUGGUAAAUUCCAUCUAAAGCUAAAUAUUGGGGAGAGACCGAUAGCGAACAAGUACCGUGAGGGAAAGAUGAAAAGAACUUUGGAAAGAGAGUUAAACAGUACGUGAAAUUGCUAAAAGGGAAACGCUUGAAGUCAGUCGCGUUAGCAGUUGCUC